Molecule: ribosomal RNA, 497 nt
Filed under: uncultured bacterium
Lineage: Bacteria
Description: partial 16S ribosomal RNA
Rfam family: Bacterial small subunit ribosomal RNA
Source: RNAcentral
GAUGAACGCUGGCGGCGUGCCUAAUACAUGCAAGUCGAGCGAACAGACGAGGAGCUUGCUCCUCUGACGUUAGCGGCGGACGGGUGAGUAACACGUGGAUAACCUACCUAUAAGACUGGGAUAACUUCGGGAAACCGGAGCUAAUACCGGAUAAUAUAUUGAACCGCAUGGUUCAAUAGUGAAAGACGGUUUUGCUGUCACUUAUAGAUGGAUCCGCGCUGCAUUAGCUAGUUGGUAAGGUAACGGCUUACCAAGGCAACGAUGCGUAGCCGACCUGAGAGGGUGAUCGGCCACACGGGAACUGAGACACGGUCCAGACUCCUACGGGAGGCAGCAGUAGGGAAUCUUCCGCAAUGGGCGAAAGCCUGACGGAGCAACGCCGCGUGAGUGAUGAAGGUCUUCGGAUCGUAAAACUCUGUUAUUAGGGAAGAACAAAUGUGUAAGUAACUAUGCACGUCUUGACGGUACCUAAUCAGAAAGCCACGGCUAACUACGUG